Molecule: ribosomal RNA, 497 nt
Filed under: uncultured bacterium
Lineage: Bacteria
Description: partial 16S ribosomal RNA
Rfam family: Bacterial small subunit ribosomal RNA
Source: RNAcentral
GAUGAACGCUGGCGGCGUGCCUAAUACAUGCAAGUCGAGCGAACAGACGAGGAGCUUGCUCCUCUGACGUUAGCGGCGGACGGGUGAGUAACAGGUGGAUAACCUACCUAUAAGGCUGGGAUAAGGUCGGGAAACCUGAUCUAAUACCGGAUAUUAUAUUGAACGGCAUGGUUCAAUAGUGAAAGACGGUUUGGCUGUCACUUAUAGAUGGAUCCGCGCCGCAUUAGCUAGUUGGUAAGGUAACGGCUUACCAAGGCAACGAUGGGUAGCCGACCUGCGAGGGUGAUCGGCGACACUGGAACUGAGACACGGUCCAGAGUCCUACGGGAGGGCGCAGUAGGGAAUCUUCCGCAAUGGGCGAGAGCAUGACGGAGCAACGCCGCGUGAGUGAUGAAGGUCUUCGGAGCGUAAAAAUCUCUUAUUAGGGAAGAACAAAUGUGUAAGUAAACAUGCACGGAUUGACGGUAACUAAUCAGAAAGCCACGGCUAACUACGUG